Non-coding RNA from Mesocricetus auratus (golden hamster), 66 nucleotides. Lineage: Eukaryota; Metazoa; Chordata; Mammalia; Rodentia; Cricetidae. The record is from Rfam.
GAAUCAUUGAUGAGAAGAAGUAUCUGAGGAUGGUCAUUAACUCAUACAAAUGUCAAUCUGAGGUCC